This 328-nucleotide ribosomal RNA is filed under the name uncultured eukaryote. RNAcentral describes it as "partial 18S ribosomal RNA". It matches the Rfam family "Eukaryotic small subunit ribosomal RNA", at positions 1470 to 1796 of the family's 1831-position model. The record is from RNAcentral.
CCCUUAGAUGUCCUGGGCCGCACGCGCGUUACACUGAUGCAUUCAACGAGCUUAUAACCUUGGCCGAGAGGCCUGGGCAAUCUUGUUAACGUGCAUCGUGAUGGGGAUAGAUUAUUGAAAUUAUUAAUCUUGAACGAGGAAUUCCUAGUAAACGCAGAUCAUCAAUCUGCAUUGAUUACGUCCCUGCCCUUUGUACACACCGCCCGUCGCACCUACCGAUUGGAUGGUCCGGUGCAGCCUCGGGAUUGUGGUUCUUGCCGCUUUAUUGUGGCGUGACCGCGAGAACUUGUCUAAACCUUAUCAUCUAGAGGAAGGUGAAGUCGUAACA